This is a long non-coding RNA of Mauremys mutica (yellowpond turtle), 438 nucleotides long. RefSeq lists it as uncharacterized. The record is from RefSeq and is a predicted model, not a curated record. The transcript is spliced from 4 exons. NCBI's taxonomy places the organism in Eukaryota, Metazoa, Chordata, Testudines, Geoemydidae.
GACCUGUGGUAAGAUCUGAGACAGGUCCCUCUGGGUGUGCUGGGUGCUGCAAAGAGAGCAUGUCGAGGACAAGUCCUUUCUCUGAAGCGUUCCCAGUGGAAGUGGUGGACUUGGCAGACUGAUAAGUUUCAGUGACUACAGAUUUUCACCAGGGCUGUGAUUUAUGUGCUGAACAAUUUCAGCAACAGUACAACAAAGAAAUCUCAAAAGAUCUCAGUGACGAGGUCAUCUUCCUCAAACGAAUAUAUUCCACAAACUUUACCUUGGAUUGCAAGCCAAAGGAAUUGCUUCAAGAAAUACUCGAACUUGGACUCUCUGGGGUGUUUCCUAAUAUCACAAUUGCAUUGUGUGUUUUUGUCAGUUUGCCUGCAUCAGUGGCUUCAGCUGAACGCACCUUCAGCGUGUUGAAGCAGGUAAAGAACUAUCACUGUUCAACUA